UGGGGAAUAUUGCACAAUGGGCGCAAGCCUGAUGCAGCCAUGCCGCGUGUGUGAAGAAGGCCUUCGGGUUGUAAAGCACUUUCAGCGGGGAGGAAGGCGAUAAGGUUAAUAACCUUGUCGAUUGACGUUACCCGCAGAAGAAGCACCGGCUAACUCCGUGCCAGCAGCCGCGGUAAUACGGAGGGUGCAAGCGUUAAUCGGAAUUACUGGGCGUAAAGCGCACGCAGGCGGUCUGUCAAGUCGGAUGUGAAAUCCCCGGGCUCAACCUGGGAACUGCAUUGGAAAAUGGCAGGCUAGAGUAUUGUAGAGGGGGGUAGAAUUCCAGGUGUAGCGGUGAAAUGCGUAGAGAUCUGGAGGAAUACCGGUGGCGAAGGCGGCCCCCUGGACAAAGACUGACGCUCAGGUGCGAAAGCGUGGGGAGCAAACAGG
RNAcentral lists this ribosomal RNA (429 nucleotides) under Chloroflexota bacterium. RNAcentral's name for it is "Chloroflexi bacterium partial 16S ribosomal RNA". It matches the Rfam family "Bacterial small subunit ribosomal RNA", at positions 355 to 776 of the family's 1533-position model. Lineage: Bacteria; Bacillati; Chloroflexota. The record is from RNAcentral.